This 323-nucleotide ribosomal RNA is filed under the name uncultured eukaryote. RNAcentral describes it as "partial 18S ribosomal RNA". It matches the Rfam family "Eukaryotic small subunit ribosomal RNA", at positions 1470 to 1796 of the family's 1831-position model. The record is from RNAcentral.
CCCUUAGAUGUUCUGGGCUGCACGCGUGCUACACUGAUAUUGCCAAUAUGUCAUUCUUAUCCGAAAUGGAUUGGGUAAUCAAGUAAUGAAAUUUCAUGCUUGGAAUCGGUAAUUGCAAUUUUAUCGUGAACGAGGAAUUCCUAGUAAGCACUAGUCAUCAGCUAAUGUUGAUUAUGUCCCUGCCCUUUGUACACACCGCCCGUCGCUACUACUGAUUGGGUGUUCAAGUGAGAUGCUUAGACCCUUGUUGCAUGGUUCAUUAUUGUGCUCCGAAAGGAAAAAGUUCCAAGCUUGAGUGUCUAGAGGAAGUAAAAGUCGUAACA